This 87-nucleotide transfer RNA is filed under the name Candidatus Aphodovivens excrementavium. RNAcentral describes it as "tRNA-Leu". It matches the Rfam family "tRNA". From Rfam's summary of the family: Transfer RNA (tRNA) molecules are approximately 80 nucleotides in length. Their secondary structure includes four short double-helical elements and three loops (D, anti-codon, and T loops). The record is from RNAcentral. Lineage: Bacteria; Bacillati; Actinomycetota; Coriobacteriia.
GCGGGCGUGGCGGAAUUGGCAGACGCGCUAGCUUCAGGUGCUAGUGGACUUCGGUCCGUGGAGGUUCAAGUCCUCUCGCCCGCACCA